Molecule: ribosomal RNA, 651 nt
Filed under: fungal sp.
Lineage: Eukaryota; Fungi
Description: eukaryotic LSU rRNA
Rfam family: 5.8S ribosomal RNA (bases 179-332)
Source: RNAcentral
UUACAGAGUUGCAAAACUCCCUAAACCAUUGUGAACGUUACCUAAACCGUUGCUUCGGCGGGCGGCCCCGGGGUUUACCCCCCGGGCGCCCCUGGGCCCCACCGCGGGCGCCCGCCGGAGGUCACCAAACUCUUGUUAAUUUAUGGCCUCUCUGAGUCUUCUGUACUGAAUAAGUCAAAACUUUCAACAACGGAUCUCUUGGUUCUGGCAUCGAUGAAGAACGCAGCGAAAUGCGAUAAGUAAUGUGAAUUGCAGAAUUCAGUGAAUCAUCGAAUCUUUGAACGCACAUUGCGCCCGCCAGUAUUCUGGCGGGCAUGCCUGUUCGAGCGUCAUUUCAACCAUCAAGCCCCCGGGCUUGUGUUGGGGACCUGCGGCUGCCGCAGGCCCUGAAAAGCAGUGGCGGGCUCGCUGUCACACCGAGCGUAGUAGCAUACAUCUCGCUCUGGGCGUGCUGCGGGUUCCGGCCGUUAAACCACCUUUUAACCCAAGGUUGACCUCGGAUCAGGUAGGAAGACCCGCUGAACUUAAGCAUAUCAAUAAGCGGAGGAUAAGAAACCAACAGGGAUUGCCCUAGUAACGGCGAGUGAAGCGGCAACAGCUCAAAUUUGAAAUCUGGCUUCGGCCCGAGUUGUAAUUUGCAGAGGAAGCUUU